UCUCAUAUUGCUGUAGUUGUAACUGCUGAAAACAUUCCUGAACUAAUUCCUAGAAAUGGUGCCGAGUUGACAGUUUGGAGCAGGACAUAACUAAUUCUUGAUUUCCAUUUUGAAUAUACUGACACUUACUUAUAGAGAUCAUCAUAGAUAUUUAUCGAUUGUUUUUAUAUUUUGGAAGAAACUCAAUCACGUGAAAAUUAAAAUAAAAAAUUCAAAUAAAUUUCGUAGUUAUUGCGAUUCAAAGUCACAUCAUUAUUAUAUUGUUUUUUUUUUUUUUUUUAUUAUGUUUUUUGACUUAUAGAAAAUUUAAUAUUUGUUAUCGACCUUGUUUUUUCAUUCUUAUAUACAUCUCUAAUUAACGAAAUGUAACAGCUGAGUAGAGCUGUUCGUUUUCAAUUGAGAGAUUUUUGUGACUGUCUCGUAUUGAAUUGCAAAAUCGUCUAAAGUCACAAAAAUAGUCUCAUUUUAAAUCUUAAGUAUCAUCUCAGACUGUGUUAAAGUACUGAAUUCCGAUAUAAAUUUUAUUUUCCUUUCUUCGAAUGUGGUUUCUUUUGAUUUUCUUCCCAUAUUUUACAUAAUUUAUCGUAUUUUUUCACAAACAAAGACAAAAUGACCACGUUCUAAAAAUUUUGUUUUUAAACUGAACAAAAAUUGCUAAUGAUAGCUUAAAACUUCAGCAACAAUAACGAAUCUUUUGCCAGGCCUGCUAGAAACGAAAUUUCCGAAUAAUUUUGUGAUGUUUGGUCAAGUUUAUACUUAAAUUAGUUUUUUUUUAUUUUAAGUCAGAGUUAAAACUUUAAUUGAAGUAAUAAUAAAGUUUCCAAAACAAAAUUCUUCAAACCAAAAAUCUUUUGCAUUCUUUUUACUAAAAAAAAUAUAAUUUCCGAAUACUCUUGUGAGGCACUGUAUAUUCACUAAGUUCUCUCAUCUGCAAUUCCAAUCUUUUCCCCAAAAAUUAUUUCCUUUUUCGUGGACAUAAUUUCGUAGAUAGAAGAAGAAAUAGUAUAGAAAGGUAAAAGAAAUUGCAAGACGUUGUUGUUUAUUUACUCAUUUCUGAAGUGAUUUUGUGUAGGUUUUAACCAAUUUUAAUUAAAUAAAUCGCUACAUUCUCUGGUUUGUUUAGAUUUUCGAUGUGAGUGGACCACCUCGCUGAGUUUGUAUCCAUUUACUUGUUUCCCAAAAAAAAUGUGUUGUUGAAAUAAAUUUGGAAAACAGAAUUUGAUAGCUAAGCAAAUAAAAUUUCAAUUAAUUUUUAAUUACAAAAUAUAAAAACACAUCUUUUGCAACUGUUUUGUCUAAUACUGUUAUUAAUGAUUCUUUCUUCUUUUUAAAAAAUGCCAAUAUGAUGAGCUGGUUACAUUUUUAAACAUAAUAUUUUACUUAGUGCCUUAAGUUCUUGUGGUUAAAAGAGCUACAAUUAAAAUGGAAAUUUUACAAUAAAUGUUGUUGUUGUUGUUUUUGUAGCGACAGAUGGUAUCAAACUGAUAUGAAAGCAUACAUGAAAUACCCUUAUGACACAUAUCGCAAACUUAAAUAUUUUCUUUCCAGGACCCUAACUAGAUGUACCGCCGGAGCCAUCCACGAACGAAAGGAUCACACAGAAGGACUAAGAUACGAAGAAGACGAAGAAGCGUAAGCUAAUGAGUAAAGUAGCUAAAAAGAAAAGCUUAAAACAAACCGGAAAAAUCAACAGACUGAUUAACAAUACAAAACAAAAUUAUAUAUAAAAUUUAUGUAUAUGUUUAUACAUAGCAAUAUAUAUAAUAACUAUAUGUAUGUAUAUGUAAAUAAGGAAGAAAACAUAGGAAGAGAAUAACAUAAAAAUUAAGAAUAAACGCAGAGAGAAGCAGAAGGAGAGACGGUGAGUUUGAUGCUGGAAAAAGUGAGAAAAGCUUUCCGAGUGCAGGCAAAUUUUCAAAUAGCAGUGCCGCACGUAAACAGAUUUUCUACUUAAACUGACAACAAAAAGGGUAAAGAACCACAGACUUUGUAAACGGAUAAACUCAAAUUAACGUUGAUUUUAUUGUGUGUGAUAUUUAAAAAAUAAGCAUUACUUUAAACACAAAAUAUUGAAGAGGCAAGAACACUGCGUAAAAUAAUACAAAAAUUAGAUAAGAGUUAAACAAUAAAGAGCUACAUUGAGGAAGGAACACAGGACGCUGAAUAUCUAAAAAUGACAUACUCGCACAAUAGCGUUAGUAAUAAUUUUAAAAUGACAACAACCGCAGCAGCAGAUGCGACGACAAUUCGUUUAAAAAAAAUGUCAAAUGGAGGAGGAGUUGGUAAUGUGAACCGCAACACACCGACAACAACUUUAAAUGUAACUGCACAUUCCAACAGUAUUGCUAGCAGUACAAAUUACCAAUCAUAUUAUCAACAACAACAAGUUUUAAGUUCUUCACCACCCGGUUGUGUAAUGUCAUCGGGUGCUUCCACUUCAUCUACAAGCAGUGAUUCCUCGCUAGGUUCUAGUGGUAUUGGUAGUGGACAUUCUUCGUCGCGUCAACGUAAGCAACAGCAGCGUAAACAGCAGCAAAACCAACAACAACAGCAGCAGCGCGAUUCGCCACACCUUUCAAGUGGCACUGAUAGCGCAGUUUUCUUUAGUAAUAAUAAUUAUCAUUACCAAUCGCAUCACGGCGGUAGACGUGGCGGUAGUGCUCAUAAGCAGAGUGAUGGUCUAAAAUCACCUCACUUCCAACAUCUGCAACAACCUCAGCAGCAGGCCCGUCAAUCGCCAGCUGUUAUAUUAGGUGGUGGUGAAAAUCCAAUUGCAAUUAAUAGCAACAGCGGCAGUGCCGGUCGCAAGACACGCGCUCAAUUCGCGAUGAUUAGUAGCCCAUUAUUUGGUAAGUUAUCACCAACACACCUGGUAUUACCCACUGCGUUGACGCAUUUCGCUGGCAGCAAAUGCUUCGAUGCCCCGGCGCCUACAGCGUUACCAAAACCACCGCAACAUUGGACCCUGGGCAAGGCAGAACAUAAAACAACCAGCAGUGCUGGACCCGGACUACACAGUGUAACGACAGCGCGCAACCCAGCACUGGCAGCUGAUGCACAUACCUGUGGUGGUCACGUUGUUAAGCAUUCGAAGCGUAAUUUGCUUGACGAUUUCGAUACGCACAACUUGAAGUUGUUGUUAAAUGUGCAAUCAUAACCGCUAUGCACUCCGAAUAAUAUCCGUACAGCAGUAUAAAUUAAUUCACCAUUUAACUAGCGAUCAUCAAAUAAAUAUAUUAGAAAACAAUGUCUAAAAUCGAUAAGAAAACUGAGUUACCCAUAUGUUAAACGCACGAAUGCAAAAUGUGAUAUUCGCAAUGAACUAUGUAUGAGUGCGCUGCAAAUAAAUAUUAAAUCAAAAUUACCAUCGUAAACAUUUCAAACAAUACAUACAUAUAAUAAUAUUUACAAUUUGCUGACCUGGAAAUUAGUAGAUAACAAAUUUGCAAUCUAGUAAAUGGUGUGAUAAAAAUUUAAACAAAAAGCUAAUCUAAUAAAAUGUACGUGAAAGAUACAAUAUUUGCCUAUUAACGCAAAUUACGACACAAAUAACAACUGCUUGUGAUCUCAAGUAAUAAAAUGAAACAUUUAAUUUUAAUAUCUAAACUAAUUGAACAAACGAAAACAAAUAAAACUAACGGAAAUGCAAACUUUAAAAAUUCAAUAAUUUAGUAAAUUCAAAAUUCUUGUAAAAGAAACUUUGUACAAAUUAUUAUUUUUGCUAUUAAGUUAUAACUAUUAAAGGUUUAAGAAAAUUUUAAAAUAUAAAUCGAAACCGCGAGUUUUCAAUUCAGUCUAAUUACGCAUCUGUAUGGCACUGAAAACAGAAUCAAAAACAACAAACAACACAGAGAAACAUUAGAUAAUAUUAUUCGCCACAAAUAUUGUAUAAUAAUUACUAUUAAAGAACUUUGUGAAUUCUGUCUAUCCUGUUGUUUGCAAAUGGCAAUGACACUAAAAAUAUAACUUUUUUAAAGAAUGAAUUCCAUCAACCCACCAAAGUAAAGAAGCAAAUAGUUGAGCGUUAAUAUAAUACAUACAAAAACAAUUGUAAACAAAAUGCAAUAAAAGCAAUAAAAAUUAACAACGAGGAAAAAACCAUUUAAGCUGUGACCUUAUACGUGCGCUUAAAUAAUGCGGAAUGACCAUGCGUCACACCUUCAGAUAACCAGGACAACAGCAGUUGCAGCUGCAAACAUGUGAACCAAAAAAUGUAUUAACAUAAAAUCACAAUCAGCAGCGACAUUAGAAAUAUAACAUGAAAACAUUCAUCGAGUGGGGGAUAUGUUCAGCAAUGGCGGCAGUCAAUAUAAAAACAUUUUUUGUAACAUAUGCCAAAAUUUAUUUUACUUACCAUAAACAACAAGAUUCUCAUUAUUCGUAUUAAAUUUUAACAAUUUAUCAUUUUUAAUUUGUGAAACAAAUUAAUUGUAGAGAAUUAAUUAAAGCUAGUACCCUUGUACAAUAAGCGUUGCUUUUGCGCCAACACAUCAAGUUCCGAUAUCCUUAUUUUUUCUAUAUUUUUGAUUGAGGGUUCUAUGCUAGUAUUUGAUUGCUUUUUUUUUAAUUAAUAAUAACAAAUUGAAAACGAAAGUAAAUAGAUGUAGCUCUUUGUACCUAACAGGAUUUUAACUUGAAAUGUAUUCGCAUAUGUAAUGCUACAUAUAAAAUGUGCCGAUUUAAAUAAAAAAAAAAUUACUUAAAAACCAAAAAUUUGAAAGUUUUGGCGCGGAUGUUACGUUUUUGUACUUUACAUUUAAAUAUAAUUGUAAUUUAAAUAAUAUAGUUAUAUUUAUUUAUAGUUUUCUAACUUUUAAUUCAGCAUCUUUCAUAGUAACUGUAUAAUUUCAUUACUUAAUAUGUAUUUACAUAAGUCUUCUGGACUGUAGUAGGUAAUAAUUUGUAUUAUAUAAAAAAAAAAUUGAGAAUACUUCUCAAUGUAAAUAUAAGAACGUUAACAUUUUGAAAAUUUGUAUUAGCGAAAUAACAUGCUGAAAAGUAUUUGCAGAAAUGACAAAAAGACCCAAAGAUAAAUGUUAACAAAUUUUAAACUAGAAAUUGUAAAUUUUAAAAUGUUUGAUGAUACUUUUCCAUCAUCAAGCCAUGUACAAACCAUAAAUACAACAAUAGAUAAAAGACAAAAACCAAACGACCGCAAGGCCCAAUACAAAAAUGCGCUUUAAUUUAUUAUUACAAACCACAUUUAUUCAAAAGACGCCUGCCAAGUGAUGAAAUUUUGAAGAGCUGUUCCUUAAAUAAAUGUACAUUUAUAGUCGGAAAGUUGUUCAAAAAUCCCAGAACUUAACAAACAUCAUUUCAUGCAAUUCUGUACGCUCUGGCGUACAUAUGUUUGUAUUUACAUUAGAAAGUGCAAGAGAAGAGUUACAUACAUAUGUAAUAAAAUUUCAACCAUCAAAUUAAUAGCUUAUUAAAGCUAAAAAACGUAAUUUUCAAUUAAUGCUAGUCCUUAAUGCAAAAAAAAAAGUUAAUAAUCGGCGUUUGUAUGUAUAUUUUCCUAUAUCAAUUUUGGCCAUUACAAAUAUGAAAAAUUGUAAUUAAAAAUAUAAAUAUUGAUUGGAAUUAAUUUUUAAAAUCAGAGCAUACUAAAGUUACUUCUUUUUACGAUGAAAAUUUAAAGUGUAAAUUGAUUACAACUGCCUUAAAACAGUAUCCUGAUGAGUGAUUGUUUGCGGCUACAGCGGAGCACUUAAGCCCAGUACCUUGUUUUUUUAGUUCAUAAUAAUUUUUUUUUUUUUUUGGGGGAUACCAGAUAGUUGUUACUGUCUGAUAACUGAUUUAUAUCAAAUUAAAUUGUGAUGGAUUAUUAAGCAUUUGCCGGCAAUACGGUACAACAAUGUCCGACUUACCAUUAAGAAAAUUAUGAUAAUAAAUAUGUAUGUAUAAAAGGUAUGCUUAAAAAUAGUUCUUGUUUGAAUGGCUUCGAAACAUUCUUCUUAUCACACUUGCGCAUGAUUGUAAAGUAAAAGAUCUAGUUCCCUAGAUUUGUGUAAAAAAGUAAGAGGUAUUGUGUGUGGGAAGAGAAUGCUUCGAGUGUCGUUGUAAACAAUAAUUACUAAAUCUGAACUGCUGUUGCCAAUUUUUGUGAAUAUGUUGCAAAUGUUAGUUGCAAUCUUAAAUGGUAAAUAUUUUGAAUAUUGUGAUGCUAUAUACGUAUGUUAGUAUGUAUUGAAUAUAUUGUAUUUUGCUUACUUUUUGUUAGUAAUAUGAAAUUGUAUAUGACCCAUGUGUGAACAUACAAUAUAAUUGUUGAACUCCGCAAGUAAUCUGUAAUGAUAGUAAUAUAAAAAUUUGACAUUUUUCUCCGACUUCUUCUAGGAAGAAGCCAGAAAGAAUCAACAAUUAUUUAGUUAUUGGACGCGCACAACGUAAUAUGAAAAUGAAACUUAGUUGAACAAUGAAAAUUAUUAAUAAUAGUCAUGUGACUAGUUGAUGGGUGUGCGAUGAAUGAACUACACAAAUUUGUUAAUUUUUAACAUACCACUAUAGAUAUGUAUAGGUAUAUUGUACGUUUUGAAUACAUAAAACAAAAAUUAUUUUGAGUUAACAGAAAGUUUAUAUUCGCACAUAAACCCAAUUAAUUCAUAGGUACAUAUGUGUAUGUAAAACAGAUUGAAUUUGCAUUUUAAAAUUUUCUUUACCAAAUGUACGCUUUUAUUUUGUGUAAAUUAUUAGUACACAUUGCAUAUAUAGACCUUUUCAGAGCAAAAGCAAAAGCCACUUGCAAUUGAUAUAUUAAUAUAAUAUUGUAUUAUUGCGUGCUAAACUUAUCUUUUACUUUGAAAACGACUAUGUAAACUUUGCAAAAAAAAAAAUAAGUAAAAAGCAAGUUAUACAUACAUAUUUUAAACCUUAGCCUGUUCAUAUACGGAUGACAUAUA
Non-coding RNA from Bactrocera oleae (olive fruit fly), 6899 nucleotides. The record is from RefSeq and is a predicted model, not a curated record. Lineage: Eukaryota; Metazoa; Arthropoda; Insecta; Diptera; Tephritidae.